AUCUCCAAUCUUGUAUCUUAAUGUUGUUGCAGUUAAAAAGCUCGUAGUUGAAUUUCUGGCACUCCAGCUGCCCUCGGGCGUGCAUGGGGUUGUCAUCCGCGUUGGAGCCGUAUGUGUAGCAAUACCAUGCGGGGAAGGCGCAUUUUACUUUGAAGAAAUUAGAGUGUUCCAGGCAGGCUAUGCUUGAAUAUUACAGCAUGGAAUAAUGGAAUAGGACUUGUCCUUUUCGUUGGUUAAUUGGACUAGUAAUGAUUAACAGGGACAGUUGGGGGCAUUCGUAUUGGGCAGUCAGAGGUGAAAUUCUUUAAUUUGCUCAAGACGCACUAAUGCGAAAGCAUUUGCCAAGGAGGUUG
This 353-nucleotide ribosomal RNA is filed under the name uncultured eukaryote. RNAcentral describes it as "SSU rRNA". It matches the Rfam family "Eukaryotic small subunit ribosomal RNA", at positions 587 to 969 of the family's 1831-position model. The record is from RNAcentral.